Molecule: ribosomal RNA, 718 nt
Filed under: uncultured bacterium
Lineage: Bacteria
Description: bacterial SSU rRNA
Rfam family: Bacterial small subunit ribosomal RNA
Source: RNAcentral
GAGUUUGAUCCUGGCUCAGGACGAACGCUGGCGGCGUGCCUAAUACAUGCAAGUCGAGCGAGCGGAACCAACAGAUUUACUUCGGUAAUGACGUUGGGAAAGCGAGCGGCGGAUGGGUGAGUAACACGUGGGGAACCUGCCCCUAAGUCUGGGAUACCAUUUGGAAACAGGUGCUAAUACCGGAUAAUAAAGCAGAUCGCAUGAUCAGCUUUUGAAAGGCGGCGUAAGCUGUCGCUAAGGGAUGGCCCCGCGGUGCAUUAGCUAGUUGGUAAGGUAACGGCUUACCAAGGUAAUGAUGCAUAGCCGAGUUGAGAGACUGAUCGGCCACAUUGGGACUGAGACACGGCCCAAACUCCUACGGGAGGCAGCAGUAGGGAAUCUUCCACAAUGGACGAAAGUCUGAUGGAGCAACGCCGCGUGAGUGAAGAAGGGUUUCGGCUCGUAAAGCUCUGUUGGUAGUGAAGAAAGAUAGAGGUAGUAACUGGCCUUUAUUUGACGGUAAUUACUUAGAAAGUCACGGCUAACUACGUGCCAGCAGCCGCGGUAAUACGUAGGUGGCAAGCGUUGUCCGGAUCUAUUGGGCGUAAAGCGAGCGCAGGCGGAAUGAUAAGUCUGAUGUGAAAGCCCACGGCUCAACCGUGGAACUGCAUCGGAAACUGUCAUUCUUGAGUGCAGAAGAGGAGAGUGGAACUCCAUGUGUAGCGGUGAAAUGCGUAGA